RNAcentral lists this ribosomal RNA (577 nucleotides) under uncultured bacterium. RNAcentral's name for it is "bacterial SSU rRNA". It matches the Rfam family "Bacterial small subunit ribosomal RNA", at positions 100 to 713 of the family's 1533-position model. The record is from RNAcentral.
GCACGGGUGAGUAACACGUGACUAACCUACCUUCGAGUGGGGAAUAACCUGGGGAAACCCGGGCUAAUACCGCAUAAUACCUACGGGUCAAAGGAGUAAUCCGCUUGAGGAGGGGGUCGCGGUGAUUAGCUAGUUGGCGGGGUAACGGCCACCAAGGCGAAAUCGGUAGCCGGCUGAGAGGGCGCACGGCCACACUGGAACUGAAACACGGUCCAGACUCCUACGGGAGGCAGCAGUGGGGAAUUUUGCGCAAUGGGGGAAACCCUGACGCAGCAACGCCGCGUGGAGGAUGAAGCCCCUUGGGGCGUAAACUCCUUUCGACCAAGACGAUUAUGACGGUACUGGUGGAAGAAGCACCGGCUAACUCUGUGCCAGCAGCCGCGGUAAUACAGAGGGUGCAAGCGUUGUUCGGAAUUAUUGGGGCGUAAAGGGCGCGUAGGCGGCGCGGUAAGUCACCUGUGAAAUCUCCAAGCUUAACUUGGAGCCUGCAGGCGAAACUGCCGUGCUGGAGUAUGGGAGAGGUGCGUGGAAUUCCCGGUGUAGCGGUGAAAUGCGUAGAUUCGGGAGGAACCCCUGU